Molecule: long non-coding RNA, 1661 nt
Filed under: Homo sapiens (human)
Lineage: Eukaryota; Metazoa; Chordata; Mammalia; Primates; Hominidae
Description: HSALNT0056558
Source: RNAcentral
UGAUUGUCUGCGUGGUCAUGUUGGUUCUCUGAUCUUCAGUUCCCAUGGGGGUAACGCAAGUGGGCAUAGAUUGAUGUCUGCACACACAGUAGGCUGCAUUACAAGAGAAGGACACUGGCCCUCGGAAACUUACUGGUUCAUUGCACCCUAUAAAUAAGCCUGGUUUUUGUCCCAGGGGGAAACAUUACCUCAUCCCAUUGAGGUUGCAAACAGAAACCUGAGGAAUGGCACUGGUAGAGUGGUCAGGUCCUUGCAUUUCUGGUCAAACUCAACAAAAAGAAUAAUUAGCCCAUGGAAGACUCUUCCAAUAGAAACUUUCAGAGAAGGUAUGGCCAGAAUAUCAACUGAUGCAAGAAGGUAGGGUGGCUCUGGAAAGCAGCUCAUGGACUUGGGCAUUAGAGAGAGGCUUCUGGUAAUCCUUCAAAGUGGACAUGUUUCCUGUUUGGUGUCAUUUAACUAAAUGUUCCACAAACUGGGGUUCACUGACUUCUCAUGUUUUUGGACAUAUCCUAGGAAUGUCACAGAAAAACCAAUGGACAUGGAAGCGUCAUCGAUGACACGACACGUAACUACUUUCAGCCUCAUUUCAGCGUCAUCGAUGACACGACACAUAACUACUUUCAGCCUCAUUUCAGCGUCAUCGAUGACAUGACACAUAACUACUUUCAGCCUCUAAAGAACUGACAGCAGCUAAGGAUAAUUUCUAAUGCCACAAGCUCAGGAUGGAUUUGACAAAGGAACUGCUCUGGAGAAAUAUAAUUUUUAAAGUACUGACCUUAUACUAAAAAGAAAAUAUUUGAGAAGCAAGUGGAAGAGAAUAAAAUAUUAGGGUUUGGCACUUCUGUAAGUGAGCCUAUGUGUGUGGGAAAAGUGAAGGGAUUAAAUAUAAGACCUGAAUUCCCCAUAUUUCAACUUGGAGUUGUUUAAAUUUUUUCAAACAUGUUUUUACAUUUAAAACAAAAACACCAUAAUAAUUAGAGAUAAUUAGAGAUAGUUUUUCAGUUUGCAUGACCCUGCCCAACAAGAGUCGGUCUUCACAAUCAAUUUGACCAGCAAAGUGCUCUACACCAUUUCCAAAUGCUUUUCUGUGGGCCAGUGCCAGCCUCAGUUGAGAAAUGCUAGACCAGGAGGACCAAAUUUAUUCCCCUUCUUCAAUUCCGAGCAAAAAGCAGAGUAACAGCAUGAGAACUUGGCACAGGCAGAUAAUGAUGAAGAGGAGAAAGAAUUAAUGAGGUUUAUUUAUGUACAUAGAAAUAAAUACCAUUAUGCCAAAAGUCAUAGUGUAUCAGACUUGCAGAAUUAAAAUUAAAUUGACAAACACAAAAUAUUGUAUUUUCAAAAAAAUGUUAAAUCUUACAGGUCAUUUUUUUCUUAAAGCUAAGUAGUGUGUGGCUAAUCCGAUGAAAGGACUGAAGGAUUAAUCACAUUUUGUGGUGUUAUAUUUGAUUUUGACUCAGUAAAGCUAUGUUUUGGGCAAAUAGCCAAUUGAGAAGCAAUUAUUAGACAUACAUUAGAAGCCUAAAAUAAUGCUGGUAUGAUAAAGUUAAGCUAAUGCCUAUGUUGCAAAGAGCUUUAAAGUGGAGUUUAACAGUCCCUAGAAUUUGUGGGAAUCAAAAAUUUCUAGUAAUGUAGCAUUUAACUAUAUACAAAGUAAAGUGGGA